Molecule: ribosomal RNA, 774 nt
Filed under: uncultured Neocallimastigales
Lineage: Eukaryota; Fungi; Neocallimastigomycota; Neocallimastigomycetes; Neocallimastigales
Description: partial large subunit ribosomal RNA
Rfam family: Eukaryotic large subunit ribosomal RNA
Source: RNAcentral
ACUAGAGUAGCACUCGCAUAUCAAUAAGCGGAGGAAAAGAAACUAACAAGGAUUACCCUAGUAACGGCGAGUGAAGCGGGAAGAGCUCAAAUUUGAAAUCUUAAAGGGUUUCCCUUUACGAAUUGUAGUUUAAAGAAGUGUUUUCUGUUGGAGUUUCGGUAAAAGUUCUUUGGAAUAGGACAUCAUAGAGGGUGAGAAUCCCGUAUUUGACCGUUACUUUCCAGCUUUGUGAUACACUUUCAAAGAGUCGGAUUGUUUGGGAAUGCAGUCCAAAAUGGGUGGUAAAUUUCAUCUAAAGCUAAAUAUUGGCGAGAGACCGAUAGCGAACAAGUACCGUGAGGGAAAGAUGAAAAGAACUUUGAAAAGAGAGUUAAACAGUACGUGAAAUUGUCAAAAGGGAAGCGUUUGACACCAGUGUUGUUUAGUUGAAAAUCAAUUAAAUAAUUUGUGAUUUUGAGUAGUAUUGACUUCAUCAGCUUGCUGCUUUCUUUUCAUAAAUUAUUUAAUGCACUUUUCAGUUAACAAGUCAACAUCAAUUUCUUUUGUUGUAAAAGGGUAAGAGGAAGGUGGCUUGCGCUUCGGCUCAAGUGUUUAUAGCCUUUUACCUCUGCAAUCGGAGAGAUUGAGGACUGCAGCGUAGACUCUUCGGGGUUAGAUACGUUUGUGCUAAGUUAUAGCCUUGUAUAGACAACUUGUUGACUAUACUCAGUCAUGUAGCUUACUCGCAGAUAGUAUUUUACCUACGCUUAGGAUGUUGAAGAUAUGCGCGACACG